AUCGCUUCUCGGCCUUUUGGCUAAGAUCAAGUGUAAAAAACCCAGUAAAUAAUUGUAUCUCAACCUAACCUAUU
Molecule: small RNA, 74 nt
Filed under: Marmota monax (woodchuck)
Lineage: Eukaryota; Metazoa; Chordata; Mammalia; Rodentia; Sciuridae
Source: RNAcentral